This 698-nucleotide long non-coding RNA is filed under the name Mus pahari (shrew mouse). RNAcentral describes it as "RIKEN cDNA 1700121L03 gene (MGP_PahariEiJ_G0006038.1)". Lineage: Eukaryota; Metazoa; Chordata; Mammalia; Rodentia; Muridae. The record is from RNAcentral.
GAUACCAAUUGGGGACCAAGUAUUCAAAUAGAUGAGUCCCUACGGGGCACAUUUUUUACUUGAACCACAACAAAUGGCAACUUUCAUAUGUGCCUGCCUCAUGAACAUUUAUAGAAUCUUUAAGUUCACAAUAUACACACUGGGCUGGUCUCCAUAUUGUAGCAGACUACUCCAAUAUCUCUUUGGGGUGAGUGCAUCACUCUUCUGCUUAAACAGUCUGUGUCUCAAUUGAACUCUGUCCUUCAAGAAGAUAAGAAUGAAGAAAUCAUCAUAACAUGAUCUAAUGGAUUCAACCUGUGGAAUAAUGCUGUUCAUAGUUAAGAUGGGUCCUCCAACAGCAGUUCAUUUAAUCAAGAUAAUCCUCCAUGGGAAUGCCGAGAAGUCAGUUUCCCAAGUGAUUCUGGAUCCUGUCAAGUAGGCAAUGAACACUAACGAUAACAAUAGAUAGUACAUAACAAUAUUCCAGUAGAUAGAUUUUGGCUCUUUAAUUCCUUUGUGUAAGUAUAGUAUAGUCACCUCUAUUCUUGUUAUAUUUUUAACUUUUUAUUGAUUCUUUGUGAACUUCACAUCCUGCACCGCAGUCCCAUUAAAUCUCUCUGUCCUUUCACACCUGUCCUUGGAACCUCCCUCUAAAAAGAAAACAACAACAAAAAAGUAAAAAUAAUAACAAAACACCACCAACAAAAACACCUUGCCAU